CGCAGCUGCUGCUGAGAGAGAAGGAUGCAAACGCAGAGCAAAAUGCAGCUACAAUCAGAUGGUGUAUAUGAACUGUAAAUAUGCUACUUUUGAGCAAAUAAAGUGCUACUAGGAAAGAAGAAACGUGUGGGACUGUUUUACUGCUCUUUCUACACGAACUGCUGUGCAAUUCUGCUAAUUGCUUUACGACCUGCAGAGGAGUGCAGGGAAGUGUGCCGGACGCCAAGAGUAAAGCAAUAAAUCU
Molecule: non-coding RNA, 244 nt
Organism: Podarcis lilfordi (Lilford's wall lizard)
Lineage: Eukaryota; Metazoa; Chordata; Lepidosauria; Squamata; Lacertidae
Source: the annotation of a GenBank genome assembly